GACAGCGUCCUGUUGGCGGCUCGCUGUUUGUGUUGUGUCAAGCUUGCCCAACACCUCGACUUCCAGCUACUCUGAAGGGAUGAUUCCACCUUCACAUUUGCUUUCAAUUUGUCAACCCUUUGGAAAAACAAUCGGAACGUCCUGAUCGGCGCCAAGCUCCCGAUGGAACAAGGGCAAAUGCUGGCAUAACGGCUACAGAACUCAACCUGAAGAUACGGCAACAUGUAGUAUUGUAAUUACUUUUAGACUUUUAUUAGGGCAAACAUAUUUGACGGAAAAAAGAA
Long non-coding RNA from Erpetoichthys calabaricus (reedfish), 284 nucleotides. RefSeq lists it as uncharacterized. Lineage: Eukaryota; Metazoa; Chordata; Cladistia; Polypteriformes; Polypteridae. The record is from RefSeq and is a predicted model, not a curated record. The transcript is spliced from 2 exons.